This 87-nucleotide transfer RNA is filed under the name Enterobacteriaceae endosymbiont of Neohaemonia nigricornis. Its description in RNAcentral is "tRNA-Leu". It matches the Rfam family "tRNA". From Rfam's summary of the family: Transfer RNA (tRNA) molecules are approximately 80 nucleotides in length. Their secondary structure includes four short double-helical elements and three loops (D, anti-codon, and T loops). The record is from RNAcentral. Lineage: Bacteria; Pseudomonadati; Pseudomonadota; Gammaproteobacteria; Enterobacterales; Enterobacteriaceae.
GCGGAAGUGGCGAAACUGGUAGACGCACUAGAUUUAGGUUCUAGCACUAUAAUAUAUAGUGUACGAGUUCGAUUCUCGUCUUCCGUA